RNAcentral lists this ribosomal RNA (253 nucleotides) under uncultured bacterium. RNAcentral's name for it is "partial 16S ribosomal RNA". It matches the Rfam family "Bacterial small subunit ribosomal RNA", at positions 524 to 776 of the family's 1533-position model. The record is from RNAcentral.
UACGGGGGGGGCAAGCGUUGUUCGGAAUUACUGGGCGUAAAGGGCUCGUAGGCGGCCAACUAAGUCAGACGUGAAAUCCCUCGGCUUGACCGGGGAACUGCAUCUGAUACUGGAUGGCUUGAGUUCGGGAGAGGGAUGCGGAAUUCCAGGUGUAGCGGUGAAAUGCGUAGAUAUCUGGAGGAACACCGGUGGCGAAGGCGGCAUCCUGGACCGACACUGACGCUGAGGAGCGAAAGCCAGGGGAGCAAACGGG